GACGAACGCUGGCGGCGUGCUUAACACAUGCCAGUCGAACGAUGAACCUCGAAAUGAUUUCUUCGGAAAGAUUUUUGAGAGGAUUAGUGGCGAACGGGUGAGUAACGCGUGAGCAACCUGCCUUAGACAAGGGGAUAGCCUCGGGAAACCGUGAUUAAUACCCUAUGAGACUCCACUUACGAGUGUAAGAGAAGUUAAAGCUAUUGCGGUCUAAGAUGGGCUCGCGUCUGAUUAGCUAGUUGGUGAGAUAAAAGCCCACCAAGGCGACGAUCAGUAACCGGCUUGAGAGAGUGAACGGUCACAUUGGAACUGAGACACGGUCCAAACUCCUACGGGAGGCAGCAGUGGGGAAUAUUGCACAAUGGGGGCAACCCUGAUGCAGCGACGCCGCGUGAGCGAUGAAGGAAUUCGUUUCGUAAAGCUCUGUCCUUGGAGAAGAUAAUGACGGUAACCAAGGAGGAAGCACCGGCUAAAUACGU
Molecule: ribosomal RNA, 479 nt
Filed under: uncultured bacterium
Lineage: Bacteria
Description: partial 16S ribosomal RNA
Rfam family: Bacterial small subunit ribosomal RNA
Source: RNAcentral